RNAcentral lists this ribosomal RNA (360 nucleotides) under Enchelys gasterosteus. RNAcentral describes it as "partial small subunit ribosomal RNA". It matches the Rfam family "Eukaryotic small subunit ribosomal RNA", at positions 30 to 432 of the family's 1831-position model. The record is from RNAcentral. Lineage: Eukaryota; Ciliophora; Litostomatea; Haptorida; Enchelyidae.
GCUUGUCUCAAAGAUUAAGCCAUGCAUGUCUAAGUAUAAAUAACUACACAGUAAAACUGCGAAUGGCUCAUUAAAACAGUUAUAGUUUAUUUGAUACAUUAAAUGGAUAACUGUAGAAAAACUAGAGCUAAUACAUGCCAAGGCCGCAAGGUCGUAUUUAUUAGAUAUUCCAAGUGGGUGAAUCAUAAUAACUUAGCAAAUCGCAGCCUCGCUGCGAUAAAUCAUUCAAGUUUCUGCCCUAUCAUGCUUUCGAUGGUAGUGUAUUGGACUACCAUGGCUCUCACGGGUAACGGGGAAUUAGGGUUCGAUUCCGGAGAAGGAGCCUGAGAAACGGCUACUACAUCUAAGGAAGGCAGCAGG